This 447-nucleotide non-coding RNA is filed under the name Triticum aestivum (bread wheat). RNAcentral's name for it is "Bacterial small subunit ribosomal RNA". It matches the Rfam family "Bacterial small subunit ribosomal RNA", at positions 1007 to 1386 of the family's 1533-position model. The record is from Rfam by way of RNAcentral. Lineage: Eukaryota; Viridiplantae; Streptophyta; Magnoliopsida; Poales; Poaceae.
GUCCGGGGACUGUCAGCGACGCCGUAGAGGGAACAACAAUAGGAACGACUACCAUGCAUGUAGUAAUUUUUUUCACGAAUACAUGUAGAGCGUAUCAACGCAUGUGCAUGGCUGUCGUUAGCUCGUGUUGUAAGGUGUUGGGUUAAGUCUCGCAACGAACACAUCCCUCGUGUCUAGUUGCCACUGUAAGUUUGGAACCCUGAACAGACCGCUGGUGUUAAGCCGGAGGAAGGAGAGAAUGAGGCCAAGUCAUCAUGCCCCUUAUGCCAUGGGCGACACACGUGCUAUAAUGGGCGGGACAAAGGGUCGCGAUCUCGCGAUUGUGAGCUAACUCCAAAAACCCGUCCUCGGUUCGGAUUGCAGGCUGCAACUCGCCUGCAUGAAGCAGGAAUCGCUAGUAAUUGCCGGUCGGCCAUACGGCGAUGAAUCCGUUCCCGGGCCUUGUAC